Molecule: ribosomal RNA, 253 nt
Filed under: uncultured bacterium
Lineage: Bacteria
Description: partial 16S ribosomal RNA
Rfam family: Bacterial small subunit ribosomal RNA
Source: RNAcentral
UACGUAGGUGGCAAGCGUUGUCCGGAAUUAUUGGGCGUAAAGCGCGCGCAGGCGGUCCUUUAAGUCUGAUGUGAAAUCUUGCGGCUCAACCGUAAGCGUGCAUUGGAAACUGGAGGACUUGAGUACAGAAGAGGAGAGUGGAAUUCCAUGUGUAGCGGUGAAAUGCGUAGAUAUAUGGAGGAACACCAGUGGCGAAGGCGACUCUCUGGUCUGUAACUGACGCUGAGGCGCGAAAGCGUGGGGAGCAAACAGG